GAAUUUAAUAAGAGGAUGUAUAGAGAUUUAGGUGGAAAGAGGUUAUAUAUAAUUUUAUUUAGUUGGGAUAAUUAUUAAAUUUAAUAAAUUUUAAUAUUUUAAAGGAUAUGGAUAAGUGAAUGUAUGAGUUUGAGAAUGGUUAGUAAAUUUAAAUAGAAUUAAUUACCUUAGGGAUAACAGCGUAAUAUCUUUGGAGAGAUCCUAUUAAUAAAGAUGAUUGC
Molecule: ribosomal RNA, 221 nt
Filed under: Carebara reina
Lineage: Eukaryota; Metazoa; Arthropoda; Insecta; Hymenoptera; Formicidae
Description: partial large subunit ribosomal RNA
Source: RNAcentral